CCGUCUCUCCUCGCCUAUGGAAAGUCACCCCUCCACCGUGAUGCUCGCCCAUGCUGUCGAUGGAAGGCGCGUCCAUGUUCCUCGCCCCCGCAAUCGACGCGAUGCUCGCCCCUAGCCAGCCUUGCCCCACCAUCAGUGACCCCGCCCCGGCUCCAUGGAAGGUGCAGCAAGGCCACCGCGAUGGGAUCUGGGAGCUCCGUGCGCCCCCGCCGUGCUGCAUGCCUCCACCGUGCCAGUCGUGCCACCGCUAGAACCACGCAUGAGGAUCUCCCUGCUCGCCAGCGGAUCUCCGCCACGCACGUCGUGAUCUCUGUCGCGGCCUCGCCUCCUACUCAAUCCCACUGCGCGCCACCGCGAUGGGAUCUGGGAGCAGCAAGGCCACUGUGAUGGGAUCUGGGAGGAGGCAAGCGGUCCUCCUCCAUCUUCGGCGACGAGCUCGUACGUUCCCCUUCAUCCCCUCCGUACCCUUCCCACCACCAUCACCCGACCAAGCGGGCCUGCUGCUUCCCAUCACGGGAGGUUCUGCUCCGCCACCUCCUCCCCAUCUUCCCGGACAUCUAGAAGCUGAAGAGUGAGGAGGCCCUGCUCGUCGCCGCUAGCACCGAGCUCUUCCUAGGCAGCCUCACGGCAGGGGGCCACACAACGACGGCGCGGCAAUUCCGGCAAGCGGUCCAUGCCGUGCAUGUCUGGACCGCAGCCUGCGGGCACUGUCCCAUGACAGACUUCCUCCUUGACUGCCUCGCUGCGAAGAGAAGUCUCCCCGCAUCCGGUGCUUGGUAUAGGUCAGUUUUACUUGAUAUUCUGUUUCUGUUCCUUGUUUGUUUGAACUGAGGUUGAUUUAGGUUGUGAACUUGUGAUGACAAAAAUAGCAUCUUGUUGAAACUAUGCAUGUAUAUACAGAAAUGAUUUGGACAGCGAGAUAUCCUGAUACAUCAAGCUUUUAAUGCAAUCAUAGAUUUUGACGUUGAUAGUUUUUGCCAAAAAGAGUCAUAGAUUUUUAUUUACUAUUUUAAUUGCCUUUUUUACUUACCCAGUCUAAUACCAUCUACAAGGUACUUAAUUGGGUGGAGUUUUGGUUGUGAGUCUGUCAAAUUAGUAUAUCUAUAUAUAUCGAAGAAUUUGUCAUCUUUGUCAUUUGCUCAGGGAAGACUAGCAAAUGUUGGUGAUUUAGCAGUCAAAAGAGUAAACCCAGAAGCGGGGAUCGUGGAGCUAACAAAUCAUGUGAACUACUAUGUGCAAUCACACAUACAGGGCAACCACCUCAAUGAUUCGUUGGUGUUUUCCCCUCUCUGCUUGUUCUUAGCACUGCAAUUGAUAUCUCUAGGAAACUAUGGCAUUUUUCCUUUGUGGGAUUAACCAAGUUCUGCUAGAACAGUAUGAAGUAAACCAUGCUAAGACAUCGAUUUGGACAAUAUUGACGACAUUGACAUCGAGAGCAGAGGUGACUUCAUUUGCAUAAUGUGAUGCUCACGCCUGGUUUAGGUAGUAGAGUAGUAGCAAUGAGCUUCCUUUGAUUGUCGCUCACGAGAGAGUAGAAGAGUAGCAGUACGACAGGUUCAGGUAGCAGAAUAGCAGUAGCAUUGCCAUAGAUCAUGCACUUAUAUGCUGAGAUCUGCACAAAAAUUCUAUGACCAGUUGAAUCAGCACAUCCAUUCCCCUACGAUUUCUGUUAUCGAUCAGAAAUGGUAUAGCUUGUAUCACUUCAACAAUCUGUAGUUCGUUUUUAUAGAAUCAUUUCAUGGAUCUCAAUAUUAGCGGCCAUAGUUUUUAGCUGCAUAUAAAUGUCAUUUGUUUGUAACCCAAUAAAGUAUUUUAGGCAAAUUUUGACUGAUUUAAAUGUUCAGCCUGGACAGUGACUUCAGACAGUAUAGAUGGUACCAGUGUCAGUCCAUUACAAGGUUUUGCAUUAUACUGCAUUUUCUGCAAAAGUAGCAGUUACCAAGUGCCAUGUGCCCUCGUUCUGCAUCAUCACUUUGCUCGUUCAGAAGUACUGAAGUAGUAAUUAACACCCCUUUCUAUAAUGAUUAGAUGCACCAAACUAUAAAACACAUGACACCAGUUUGUAAAAAUACCUGCAUCCUAAGGUUAUUCUGCUCUACUCUGCUGCUAAAUUCAACAUCCAGAUUACUUGGUAGAGGUAGCAAGGCCUUGAUCCUAGCACGAAAUGAGAAAAAAGGUAUGGUUUAAUGUUGGACAACUCAUCAGGGAAGUUCAGACAUUAGAAUCAUAAUUUUUAUGGUUCAGGUCAAUUUUUAUGGUCCAAGAUCAUUUAUUUUGGACUAGGAUAAUCUUUAUUUAUUUUGGACUUGCAGUUGACGUCACCUUCUUGUAUGAACUAUACACUUUAGGAUCCCUUCUUCCUAAACGCUCACAUGCACGUCGGUGCCAAUUAUUAUUACACGAGUCAACCAUUUUCCUAUGGACAAAAGAGAGCCAGCACACCAAUAUUCAAAGAUGACUGUCGGCACAAGAUAGCUUUGACUCGCCUGCCAUCUCAUUCCUGUUGUAAAAGGAUAGUCGUAGAAUCCACCAGAUUGCAUUAACUUUCUUGUGUAAUCCUAUCUCAGGGUAUGUUGCGGCUUAUGGCAAUUCUGAGCCAACAUAUACUACAUUGUAUGGAAACCCUGAUGCAACAUAUACUACACAAGCCUAUCCAGAUGUUUAAAGCACUAAUCAGGCUACAAAGAAGUUGUUUACAAGUGGGCCUGGGAUUGAAUAGAUCGCUGACAAGUCUAGUUCAAGAAGCACUUGAUGUCAGUGAGGUAGCCAGAGAAGUAAGGCGAUAGAAAGUCAUUGGAAACAUAGUGUUAAUAUGCGUUGGAGCCAUCAUCUUGAUUUCUGCGGUUUCUGUCUCCUUUUUGCCAUUUUAUGUGCAAAGGAUUGCAUGCACUGUAGGCGGGCUGGCAGUGUUGGGUUCUUCUAUUGUGCUUUUGUGCAUUGGACAAGACAAGAAGUUCUUGGGACAAACUGGAGGUUUCAUGUGCCCAUUGGCGCGGGAGUCCGGGGAAGAGAGCGUCGGCUCCUUUAGGAUCGGGUCGUCGAUGCUGCUGGGCCACGGGGUGACGAUCCGUGUGCUCCUCUUCAGCUCGAUGUGGCACCUGCGGGGGCGCGCGUACGCCGCCAUCUCGCGCGUGCGCAGCGCGACGUUGCCGGUGGCGGCGUCCUGGCUGCGCUUCAAGAACACCCACGUCCUCCUCAUGGUCGUCCUCUUCGCCCUCUUCUUACGGAAGCUCUCUGGCGCUGAUCUUCCGAGAUGUUUGCAAUGUUGUCUUUGCGAUGCAUUGCCAGACGCCACCUCUUGCUCACAGGGACCUAAAGGUAGAAAAUGUUCUUGCUGCUGAUGGGGCAUGGAAACUAUGUGAUUUUGGUAGUGUAUCGACAAAUCAUAAGUGCUUUGAUAAACCUGAGGAGAUGGGCAUUGAAGAAGAUAACAUCAGGAAGCACACUACUCCUUCAUAUAAGUUACCAGUGAGAAAGUAGAUAUCUGGACUCUUGGGUGUCUCUUGUAUAGAAUCUGCUACUUCAAAUCAGCAUUCGAUGGAGAAUCAAAGCUCCAAAUACUUAACGGGAACUAUCGCAUCCUAGAAUUGCCGAAGUACAGUUCUUCUAAUUCAACACUUACCAAAGACAUGCUUAAUUCUUCUACAGAUGCCAGACAGGACAUCACACAGGCAAGUGCUUUGCUUGAUUGGCCAUUCACAGUGAACAGGCAGGACAAGAUUGCGAGUUCAAAAUAAUGUCAACCUGGCAGUCUAUUAUAUCAUAUAUUGUGGCACCACAUCUCAGAUAAAAAGGUGAGUCCAGGAAUGAGGAUUCACGAACACUGCAAUUCAAUUAUGGUUCAUUCAAACAUAAGGCAUUGGAUAAAUCCUUAACUAAAAAGGUUCCUAAAAAUCGUUUGAAUUCAAAUACUAAACUAACACAAUGUUGCUCUAUUGUAGGGAUUUUUGAAGCACUAAUUGCAGUGUAUCAACUCCGCUCUCAAAUAUAAGUGAAAAAAGAACCUAUGUCAGUCCUUUGUAUCCUGGAUUUCUAUGAAAUUUUAGUUGUUUGCCUCUUCAAUUUUGUGCUUGGCAUUGUUGGUUUUAUACUCUGAUCACUGCAUUGACACUGUGUUUUGGUUUGGUGUUUUCAGUCUGCAUGCUUGAUAGAAAUGCUUCUAUUAGCACGCAUUUUGCAUUUAAGAUAUGGUCACUUUUAUGUUCUUUUUUAUUGCAAGUCGCAAUCACAUAUGACCCAAGCAACAUGUAUCUGCUCUCAAAACUGAGAUAUGGACAUGUGGUAUGUAUAUAUUGCUGAUGCAUAUUUCAAAAUUUGGAGCUGAUACAUGUUGCUCUUUAAUCUAUUCAUUGUGGUUGAAAAAUAUAUCUGACAACCAGCCAUCUGUUUAGUUUAUAGUUUUAGUCCUUAAGCUUCAGAGAAAAUAUCUUCUCAGGGAUGGUUUCAGCUUGAAGGUUCGAGCUUUGCAUAUUGCCAAAGAAGCUUUAGAUAUGGUACUUGCAGAUGAUAACUUCAGUACUAUAGUUGCAGCAGUUGGUGAAGGGAGGUCUAUUUACAACAACAUGAAGGCUUUUAUUAGGUCCAUUUUUUAGAUAAUCUAUGGCCAAACAUUUUUUGAAUCCUAGGCCUGUUGCAGCGGUGAGAGUUGUCUAGAAAGGCUUGUCUCAGUUAAUCCCUUACUCCAACCCUACUGAUGGGGAGCCUUUGGUGCCGUAUGUGCACUAAGGGACUUCAUUCUAUCUGAUUAUGCAAAGAAAAACAAUGUCAAUACUUCUGCACUAACACAAUCUGAAAUGCGAGAUAUCAUCCUUGGUGCUGAAUUGCUCCACCAUCACAGCAACAGUCGAGAGACUGCUCAGUUAGCUGCUGUAAUCACAAGGAUAGCGAAUGUGCACGGAGAUGAACUCAUUAUCACAACCACAAGUCCAUAUGAGCAACAAGCAUUCGCAUCGAAGACUGAUUGAUGUGUUAGAGCCAUCUCUGCCACAAAUUUUAUCUUCGUGUAAAUCACAUUUAUGUCAAUUCUGAUGAUAUUAAGGUUAGUAUAGUGAUAGCCUCUCUCUAACUCACACAACAAAAGAAAUGUUGAAUGGUUACCAACUGGCAUUCGUUUUGAUUGCCAAAAACCGGUUACACUUACAUUAUGCCAAAGAACAUAUAGAAUAAAUUCAUACGCAUAGCAUAUCUGUGUACACAAAUCACUGGAUUCUUGUAUGGGCUGAGUCCACAGGACAAUCCUCAAGUCAAAAAGAUUAGGUGUAUAUCCAUCCCUCGACAACAUGGAACACACCAGAAG
Molecule: long non-coding RNA, 5296 nt
Organism: Zea mays
Lineage: Eukaryota; Viridiplantae; Streptophyta; Magnoliopsida; Poales; Poaceae
Exons: 11
Source: RefSeq, a predicted model, not a curated record